UAACGACGUGUGCCUGGGCUCUUGCU
RNAcentral lists this non-coding RNA (26 nucleotides) under Homo sapiens (human). Lineage: Eukaryota; Metazoa; Chordata; Mammalia; Primates; Hominidae. The record is from RNAcentral.